UACGAAGGGGGCUAGCGUUGCUCGGAAUCACUGGGCGUAAAGGGUGCGUAGGCGGGUCUUUAAGUCAGGGGUGAAAUCCUGGAGCUCAACUCCAGAACUGCCUUUGAUACUGAAGAUCUUGAGUUCGGGAGAGGUGAGUGGAACUGCGAGUGUAGAGGUGAAAUUCGUAGAUAUUCGCAAGAACACCAGUGGCGAAGGCGGCUCACUGGCCCGAUACUGACGCUGAGGCACGAAAGCGUGGGUAGCGAAUGGG
RNAcentral lists this ribosomal RNA (253 nucleotides) under uncultured bacterium. Its description in RNAcentral is "partial 16S ribosomal RNA". It matches the Rfam family "Bacterial small subunit ribosomal RNA", at positions 524 to 776 of the family's 1533-position model. The record is from RNAcentral.